This 253-nucleotide ribosomal RNA is filed under the name uncultured bacterium. Its description in RNAcentral is "partial 16S ribosomal RNA". It matches the Rfam family "Bacterial small subunit ribosomal RNA", at positions 524 to 776 of the family's 1533-position model. The record is from RNAcentral.
UACGUAGGGGGCUAGCGUUGUCCGGAUUUAUUGGGCGUAAAGAGCGUGUAGGCGGCCUGACAGGUCUGCUGUGAAAACUCGAGGCUCAACCUCGAGAUGUCGGCGGAAACCGUCUGGCUAGAGUCCGGAAGAGGAGAGUGGAAUUCCUGGUGUAGCGGUGAAAUUCGUAGAUAUUAGGAAGAACACCAGUGGCGAAGGCGGCUCACUGGCCCGGUACUGACGCUGAGGCGCGAAAGCGUGGGGAGCAAACAGG